This is a non-coding RNA of Phasianus colchicus (ring-necked pheasant), 545 nucleotides long. The record is from RefSeq and is a predicted model, not a curated record. Lineage: Eukaryota; Metazoa; Chordata; Aves; Galliformes; Phasianidae.
AAAAGUCACUUUUACUCAAACCUGAGUGUGAAGAUUUAAGUUAAAAUAUGUAUCAGUGGACUGACUGCUUCGAGGGACAUGAUGGUAUAAGAAAGAAGUGGAGGGAUUUAGAAUCACUGCAUACAACUUCAGAUUCCAUCUGAAAAACCCAGGCUUUAGUUUCAUUGAAGUUUCCUGGAUGAAGUGAGAAUAUUCAGUGUCUAUCUUGAUCUAUUCAGAUAGCAUUUGGGAAAGAACGAACCCUUCUGUAGUAUAGGCGUGGUAGCUGGGAGCAAAAGAAAGUGAUACAUCUAUAGCAUGGCUCAUUCUUCAGAGAAAUUCAUCUGAAGAUGGCUGUAUAACAGACUGUCAUAUAAGGGCCCUUUCCUAUUGCUACUUUCUAGAGUUUCCCCUGCUACUUCUACAGAACAACGUACCCAAAACAGGAAAUAGGUAAGGCUAUCUAAGUGUUCAAAAAUAGUAAUUAGGCCAUAUAGUUUUUCUGAUUAAAAAAAAAUAAAUGAGGGAAAAUGUUGUUGGAAUGGCAUAUGCAUGAAAGUUGAUGU